UAAUACAGAGGGUGCAAGCGUUAUUCGGAAUUAUUGGGCAUAAAGCGCAUGUAGGUGGUUUGAUAAGUCUGAUGUGAAAUCCCCGGACUCAAUUCGGGAAGUGCAUUGGAUACUGUCAGGCUAGAGUAUGGGAGAGGUGAGCGGAAUUCCAGGUGUAGAGGUGAAAUUCGUAGAUAUCUGGAGGAACAACAGAGGCGAAGGCGGCUCACUGGACCAUUACUGACACUGAGAUGCGAAAGCGUGGGGAGCAAACAGGAUUAGAUACCCUGGUAGUCCACGCCGUAAACGAUGGAUACUAGAUGUCGGUAGGUCUUACCCUAUCGGUAUCGUAGCUAAUGCGUUAAGUAUCCCGCCUGAGGAGUACGGUCGCAAGAUUA
RNAcentral lists this ribosomal RNA (377 nucleotides) under uncultured bacterium. RNAcentral's name for it is "bacterial SSU rRNA". It matches the Rfam family "Bacterial small subunit ribosomal RNA", at positions 521 to 896 of the family's 1533-position model. The record is from RNAcentral.